AAUAGAUACCCCGGUAGUCCAUGCCGUAAACGUUGGGAACUAGAUGUAGGGCCUGUUCCACGGGUUCUGUGUCGUAGCUAACGCAUUAAGUUCCCCGCCUGGGGAGUACGGCCGCAAGGCUAAAACUCAAAGGAAUUGACGGGGGCCCGCACAAGCGGCGGAGCAUGCGGAUUAAUUCGAUGCAACGCGAAGAACCUUACCAAGGCUUGACAUAUACCAGAACACUGCAGAAAUGUAGGACUCUUUGGACACUGGUAUACAGGUGGUGCAUGGUUGUCGUCAGCUCGUGUCGUGAGAUGUUCGGUUAAGUCCGGCAACGAGCGCAACCCUCGUCCUAUGUUGCCAGCGGUUCGGCCGGGGACUCAUGGGAUACUGCCGUGGUCAACACGGAGGAAGGUGGGGAUGACGUCAAAUCAUCAUGCCCCUUAUGUCUUGGGCUUCACGCAUGCUACAAUGGCCGGUACAAAGGGCGCGAUCCGUAAGGUGGAGCGAAUCCCAAAAAGCCGGUCUCAGUUCGGAUUGGGGUCUGCAACUCGACCCC
This 541-nucleotide ribosomal RNA is filed under the name uncultured bacterium. Its description in RNAcentral is "bacterial SSU rRNA". It matches the Rfam family "Bacterial small subunit ribosomal RNA", at positions 777 to 1319 of the family's 1533-position model. The record is from RNAcentral.